UAUUGAUUGUUCAAAAUGCGCCAGGAUUUGUUUACGUUGGUCUCUUAGCAACAAUAUUGUGUCCACAUUUAUUUAAUAACACUGUUGAUGUUAUUAAUCUGAUGGUAAAAUGGAUCUGGACUGUAAAGGUUCAGAUUUCUGGUUGGAGCUUCAUCUUCAUCUUCAUCUUCUCUCUGGCUGAGGAAGAGGAGGGUCGGGCCCGCAGACCCGAUCAGAACCGUGAAGGUUCUGGUUUGAUGGAUCUGGCCCAGAGGUCCAGCUGAUGAAAAAAGCAGCUGCAGCAGGAAACCUCCAUGAUGAAGAAGAUGAAGAAGAUGAAGAUGAUGCUUUCCUCUGAGGAAGCGUGGAAAGUGUCGGCGCUGUAAUUACCACUUCCUGCGUGUUUAUGGCCUCAUGAUGGCGGUUUGAUCCAGAUGCUUAAUCACAGCCUGGAGAGGAAGACGAGCUGCGACACGCCGAAGAUCCCUGGGAUCAUCUUCAUCCUUUCUCCUGGCUUCAUCAUCAUCAUCACUCACUUUUAAACAUUUUAGUUUUGAGUUUAGUUUAAAGUUUUAAAGAAAAAGUUCAACCAAAGUUCAGAGAAAGACCUUGAGGAGCUUGAAGAAGAGCUGAGAGGAACGACACUGCUCAGGGUCCCUGAACGCACCGCCGGCUUUUUAAUUAACACGGCAACAAGAAUGCAGCAGCUGAGCUUCAAAGCAACGAGAACAAACAGAGCGGCAACUUCAACACGCCCUGCAGGGGGAGAAGAAAGGAGCGGCUGUUUGUUGAGGCGGAGGGCAAACAGAGAAACAACUACUUCCUGUUUCACACGUUCAACUCCGACCCGACACAAAUCCCAUCAUGCACUGCGUCGGCUCCUGGAUCUGAAUCAACGGUGGCUGGUAAACGGUUUCCUCCACCGUAAGAAAGUCUCACCAGCUGAAACCAACCAGAGUUCAGCCGAACCCAGGAGGACCAGAGGUCAAAGGUCGAUGAGCGACCGGACCGGACUCUCUGGACGGGCGGAGGCUGGCUGCCCUCCAGCUGAUCUCAGGUCGGAUUGACCUCCGUCAGGUUCUUCAUAUCUGAACCUGGAGGCAGGUGGACAUGUUGGUUCUGAUCUGGACCCAUCUGGUACCGACCAGCAGGAAGUCGGUGAAAGGUCACGGAGCGAUGAAGAUGAAGCUCUUCCUCUUCCUCACUUCGCUCCAGUCAGGAGGACUGAGAGCCUGCAGGCCUCUGAUCUACAGAGUGUGUGUGUGUGUGUGGGUGUGUGUGUGUGUGGGGGGGUUCCUCCAGGUCCGAGGAAAAGGCUGAAUUCCUGAAAUGACUCGAGCCGAAGACGAGGAAGACGAGGAGGAGGAGGAGGAGGAGGAAGGAAGGAGUCGCCUUGACCUCCAGCUGGAGACGCCAAGGUCACCGAGAUAAACCGGGUUUCUGGGUCAGAGUUCUGUUUCUAACGGCAACAGAACCACAUCUACUGCUGGACUUCUGGUCUGAACCCCAGGACCGACUCAGAACCAAAACCAGAACCAAUCAGAACCAGGAUCAACCAGAACCAGAACCAGAACCAGGACCAGAACCAGAACCAGGACCAAUCAGAAUCAGACCCAGAACCAACGAGAACCAAUCAGAAUCAGAACUGUCCUAGAAGUUACUGCAAUAAACAUUGAUGUUGUUUCUCCCAGUA
This is a long non-coding RNA of Gambusia affinis (western mosquitofish), 1672 nucleotides long. RefSeq lists it as uncharacterized. NCBI's taxonomy places the organism in Eukaryota, Metazoa, Chordata, Actinopteri, Cyprinodontiformes, Poeciliidae. The record is from RefSeq and is a predicted model, not a curated record. The transcript is spliced from 3 exons.